Molecule: ribosomal RNA, 652 nt
Filed under: Streptomyces xinghaiensis
Lineage: Bacteria; Bacillati; Actinomycetota; Actinomycetes; Kitasatosporales; Streptomycetaceae
Description: bacterial LSU rRNA
Rfam family: Bacterial large subunit ribosomal RNA
Source: RNAcentral
ACAGUGGACGCGAGCAUCUGUGGCCAAGUUUUUAAGGGCGCACGGUGGAUGCCUUGGUACCAGGAACCGAUGAAGGACGUGGGAGGCCGCGAUAGGCCCCGGGGAGCUGUCAACCGAGCUUUGAUCCGGGGGUGUCCGAAUGGGGAAACCCGGCAGUCGUCAUGGGCUGUCACCCAUACCUGAACACAUAGGGUAUGUGGAGGGAACGCGGGGAAGUGAAACAUCUCAGUACCCGCAGGAAGAGAAAACAACCGUGAUUCCGGGAGUAGUGGCGAGCGAAACCGGAUGAGGCCAAACCGUAGGCGUGUGAUACCCGGCAGGGGUUGCGCUUACGGGGUUGUGGGAUCGUACUUCGAUGGUCUGCCGGCCAUCGGGCGAGUCAGAAAUUGUUGGUGUAGGCGAAGGGCAUGCGAAAGGCCCGGCGUAGAGGGUAAGACCCCCGUAGCCGAAAUGUCAGCAACUUGCUUGUGCGACACCCAAGUAGCACGGGGCCCGAGAAAUCCCGUGUGAAUCUGGCGGGACCACCCGCUAAGCCUAAAUAUUCCCUGGUGACCGAUAGCGGAUAGUACCGUGAGGGAAUGGUGAAAAGUACCGCGGGAGCGGAGUGAAAUAGUACCUGAAACCGUGUGCCUACAAGCCGUGGGAGCGUCGC